GAGCUGGGUUCAGACCGGCGUGAGCCAGGUCGGUCCCUAUCUGUGGUGGGCGGAGGAGAUUUGAGAGGACCUGCUCUUAGUACGAGAGGAUCAGAGUGGACGUCCCUCUGGCGUGGCUGUUGUCAUGCUCAUGGCAAUCGCAGCGUAACUAUGGACGGACGAGAUAACCGCUGAAAGCAUCUAAGCGGGAAGCUCACCUCGAGAUUAGAUCUCCCCGAAGGCCACUCGAAGACUACGAGUUUGAUAGGCCGGGUGUGCAAGGACCGUGAGGUCCUCAGCUUACCGGUACUAAUCGGCCGUUCGGCUUGAUUCCGCACUUAUG
RNAcentral lists this ribosomal RNA (322 nucleotides) under Planctomycetota bacterium. RNAcentral's name for it is "Planctomycetes bacterium (groundwater metagenome) partial 23S ribosomal RNA". It matches the Rfam family "Bacterial large subunit ribosomal RNA", at positions 2602 to 2925 of the family's 2925-position model. Lineage: Bacteria; Pseudomonadati; Planctomycetota. The record is from RNAcentral.